This 489-nucleotide ribosomal RNA is filed under the name uncultured bacterium. Its description in RNAcentral is "partial 16S ribosomal RNA". It matches the Rfam family "Bacterial small subunit ribosomal RNA", at positions 30 to 507 of the family's 1533-position model. The record is from RNAcentral.
AUUGAACGCUGGCGGCAUGCUUUACACAUGCAAGUCGAACGGCAGCACGAAAGAGCUUGCUCUUUUGGUGGCGAGUGGCGAACGGGUGAGUAUGCAUCGGAACGUACCGAGUAAUGGGGGAUAACUGUCCGAAAGGAUAGCUAAUACCGCAUACGCUUUGAGAAGGAAAGUGGGGGCUCUUCGGACCUCACGUUAUUCGAGCGGCCGAUGUCUGAUUAGCUAGUUGGUGGGGUAAAGGCCUACCAAGGCGACGAUCAGUAGCGGGUCUGAGAGGAUGAUCCGCCACACUGGGACUGAGACACGGCCCAGACUCCUACGGGAGGCAGCAGUGGGGAAUUUUGGACAAUGGGCGCAAGCCUGAUCCAGCCAUGCCGCGUGUCUGAAGAAGGCCUUCGGGUUGUAAAGGACUUUUGUUAGGGAAGAAAAGGAUAGUGUUAAUACCAUUAUCUGCUGACGGUACCUAAAGAAUAAGCACCGGCUAACUACGUG